This is a non-coding RNA of Tulasnella sp. 403, 87 nucleotides long. Lineage: Eukaryota; Fungi; Basidiomycota; Agaricomycetes; Cantharellales; Tulasnellaceae. The record is from the annotation of a GenBank genome assembly.
UAAUACAUAACUCAAUUGGUAGAGUAGCUCCUUUUUUUAAUAGUUUUAAAUAGGAGAAGGUUAAUGGUUCGAGUCCAUUUGCAUUAA